UUUGAGGUUUAAAAAUCCUCGCAAUCUGACAUCAAAGUGUUCUCUGUGCAAAGGUUUAGCGCGUUCAUCAGUGGUGAGUUUAACAACACUCAACUGCAGGUAAAACAGCAUUCAGCGGUGAGUUUGACCAAAGCAACGCUCAACUGCAGGAAAAUGGCAUUAAAAGGUGAGUUUAACAACGCUCCAAGGCGCGUGCAAGUAAGCAGUUUAACCGUUUUCUUACAACCCAUUCUCGCUUAUCGCUUAUUCAUAGUUUAUCACUAUGAAAUCACGUUCAAGAAGUCUCAUUCAGCACACAUCGCGAUACUUGCCAUCAGUUUACAUGUGCCACAGGUUAGACAUAAAGGAAGCAGUCAGCCCAGUGGUGUUUCUGAAGAGGUAUUCCUUCAGAAAUGGAGAAGACAGAAAACUGCGGAGGCAGACAUUUGCAGCACCCAAGUGUUCGAGUGAGCAUGAUGACCACAAGUGUGUGUCGAACUUUUCAUGACCUGAUGACAGUGGUUCCCAAUCCUGGUCCUGGAGAACCCCAACACUGCACGGUUUUGGUGUCUCUCUUAUCUGACAAACACACUUUUGAGGUCUUGGAGUCUUCACUGAUGAGCUGAUGAGCUGAAUCAGGAUUGUUUGCAGAUAAUGCUGUUCUUCUCCAUCAUGCACAAGGACUCACCUCUUUAAUUCUUUACCCCCCCCACACACACA
Molecule: long non-coding RNA, 699 nt
Organism: Carassius carassius (crucian carp)
Lineage: Eukaryota; Metazoa; Chordata; Actinopteri; Cypriniformes; Cyprinidae
Exons: 4
Source: RefSeq, a predicted model, not a curated record